This 470-nucleotide ribosomal RNA is filed under the name Bacillus subtilis. RNAcentral's name for it is "bacterial SSU rRNA". It matches the Rfam family "Bacterial small subunit ribosomal RNA", at positions 587 to 1052 of the family's 1533-position model. Lineage: Bacteria; Bacillati; Bacillota; Bacilli; Caryophanales; Bacillaceae. The record is from RNAcentral.
GUUCUGAAUGUGAAAGCCCCCGGCUCAACCGGGGAGGGUCAUUGGAAACUGGGGAACUUGAGUGCAGAAGAGGAGAGUGGAAUUCCACGUGUAGCGGUGAAAUGCGUAGAGAUGUGGAGGAACACCAGUGGCGAAGGCGACUCUCUGGUCUGUAACUGACGCUGAGGAGCGAAAGCGUGGGGAGCGAACAGGAUUAGAUACCCUGGUAAUCCCCCCCCUUAACCGAUGAGUGCUAAGUGUUAGGGGGUUUCCGCCCCUUAGUGCUGCAGCUAACGCAUUAAGCACUCCGCCUGGGGAGUACGGUCGCAAGACUGAAACUCAAAGGAAUUGACGGGGGCCCGCACAAGCGGUGGAGCAUGUGGUUUAAUUCGAAGCAACGCGAAGAACCUUACCAGGUCUUGACAUCCUCUGACAAUCCUAGAGAUAGGACGUCCCCUUCGGGGGCAGAGUGACAGGUGGUGCAUGGUUGU